UACGUAGGGUGCAAGCGUUAAUCGGAAUUACUGGGCGUAAAGCGUGCGCAGGCGGUUUUGUAAGACUGUCGUGAAAUCCCCGGGCUUAACCUGGGAAUGGCGAUGGUGACUGCAAGGCUAGAGUUUGGCAGAGGGGGGUAGAAUUCCACGUGUAGCAGUGAAAUGCGUAGAGAUGUGGAGGAACACCGAUGGCGAAGGCAGCCCCCUGGGCCUGCACUGACGCUCAUGCACGAAAGCGUGGGGAGCAAACAGG
RNAcentral lists this ribosomal RNA (253 nucleotides) under uncultured bacterium. RNAcentral describes it as "partial 16S ribosomal RNA". It matches the Rfam family "Bacterial small subunit ribosomal RNA", at positions 524 to 776 of the family's 1533-position model. The record is from RNAcentral.